Molecule: ribosomal RNA, 254 nt
Filed under: uncultured bacterium
Lineage: Bacteria
Description: partial 16S ribosomal RNA
Rfam family: Bacterial small subunit ribosomal RNA
Source: RNAcentral
UACGGGGGGAGCAAGCGUUGUUCGGAUUUACUGGGCGUAAAGGGCGCGUAGGCGGCCACCGCAAGUCGACUGUGAAAUCUCCGGGCUUAACCCGGAACGGUCAGCCGAUACUGCGGGGCUAGAGUGCAGAAGGGGCAACUGGAAUUCUCGGUGUAGCGGUGAAAUGCGUAGAUAUCGAGAGGAACACCUGCGGCGAAGGCGGGUUGCUGGGCAUUAACUGACGCUGAGGAGCGAAAGCAUGGGGAGCGAACAGG